RNAcentral lists this ribosomal RNA (372 nucleotides) under uncultured eukaryote. Its description in RNAcentral is "partial 18S ribosomal RNA". It matches the Rfam family "Eukaryotic small subunit ribosomal RNA", at positions 592 to 976 of the family's 1831-position model. The record is from RNAcentral.
CAAUAGCGUAUAUUAAAGUUGUUGCAGUUAAAGAGCUCGUAGUUGGACUUCUGGGAGGGCGCCAAUGUCCGCUGUUGCGAGUGCAGCGGCUCCCUUCCAUCCUUCUGUUAACGUUUCUUGGUAUUCAGUUACUGGUUUCGGGCUCAGAUAUUUUACCUUGAGAAAAUUAGAGUGUUUCAGGCAGGCUUGCGCCGGAAUACAUUAGCAUGGAAUAAUAGAAUAGGACUUUAGUCUCUCUUGUUGGUUUAGGGACUGAAGUAAUGAUUAAUAGGGAUAGUUGGGGGCAUUAGUAUUUAAUUGUCAGAGGUAAAAUUCUCGGAUUUGUUAAAGACUAACUUAUGCGAAAGCAUUUGCCAAGGAUGUUUUCAUUAA